GACGAACGCUGGCGGCGUGCCUAAUACAUGCAAGUAGAACGCACAGUUUAUACCUUAGCUUGCUACACCAUAGACUGUGAGUUGCGAACGGGUGAGUAACGCGUAGGUAACCUGCCCGGUAGCGGGGGAUAACUACUGGAAACGAUAGCUAAUACCGCAUAAUAUUAAUUAUUGCAUGAUAAUUAAGUGAAAGGUGCAAUUGCACCACUACCAGAUGGACCUUCGUUGUAUUAGCUAGUAGGGGAGGUAACGGCUCACCUAGGCGACGAUACAUAGCCGAUCUGAGAGGAGGAUCAGUCACACGGGAACUGAGACACGGGCCAGACGCCUACGGGAGGCAGCAGUGGGGAAGAUUGGACAAGGGUCGAAAGCCUGAUGCAGACAUGCCGCGGGUGUGAAGAAGGUCUUCGGAUUGUAAAGAACUUUAAGUUGGGAGGAAGGGCAGUAAGUUAAUACUUUGCGGUGUUGACGGUACCAACAGAAUAAGCACCGGCUAACUUCGUG
RNAcentral lists this ribosomal RNA (504 nucleotides) under uncultured bacterium. RNAcentral describes it as "partial 16S ribosomal RNA". It matches the Rfam family "Bacterial small subunit ribosomal RNA", at positions 28 to 507 of the family's 1533-position model. The record is from RNAcentral.